AAAGUCGUAACAAGGUUUCCGUAGGUGAACCUGCGGAAGGAUCAUUAUUGAAUGAACAUGGAGUCGGUUGUCGCUGGCCCCUUCACUGGGGCAUGUGCACGCCUUCUCUAUUCAUCCACACACACCUGUGAACUUGUGAGACGGAUAGUAGUCCCCUCGGGGGUGAGCUCCGUCUGCUAUACAUAAACUCCAGUAAAUAAAUUUGAAUGUCAUCUGAUGUAACGCAUCUAUAAACUAAGUUUCAACAACGGAUCUCUUGGCUCUC
This 265-nucleotide unclassified non-coding RNA is filed under the name Basidiomycota sp. RNAcentral describes it as "partial contains small subunit ribosomal RNA, internal transcribed spacer 1, and 5.8S ribosomal RNA". The stretch from base 1 to 47 matches the Rfam family "Eukaryotic small subunit ribosomal RNA", at positions 1785 to 1831 of the family's 1831-position model. Lineage: Eukaryota; Fungi; Basidiomycota. The record is from RNAcentral.